Molecule: long non-coding RNA, 642 nt
Filed under: Homo sapiens (human)
Lineage: Eukaryota; Metazoa; Chordata; Mammalia; Primates; Hominidae
Description: novel transcript
Source: RNAcentral
AGUCUACAAAACCCCACAGCUCCUAAGAAUUCUCUCACCUGCCUUCUGCCCUUAAGCUCCGGUAGAUUGCAAAUAACCUGCUUUCUUUCUGUUCCCGAGCUGCGUUCGGACCCGUCGGAUCGUAAAUCCCAUGUAAGGUACCUGCCGUCGGAAGAUUUGAUCUUUCUACUUGGACACCUAAUACCCACAGUCCUCCAGCUGCGUUCGGACCCCUGUCGUAUUGUAAAUCCCACGCAAGGUACCUGCCGUCGGAAGAUUUGAGCUUUCUUCUUGAACACCUCAUACCCACAGUCCUCCAGACAGAAGGACAACAGGUACAAAGUCCUAAGGAUUAUAAAGGUAUGCUGCUUGCCAUCAUCUUAGUGACCAAGGCAGCGAAGCUGUUUCUGUACCUUGGAACAGUCUUCCCUGACAAGCCAGAGAACAGCGAUAAAGCCACCAGCCUUGGGAUCAGGACUGAAAAGGCAAGAGUGAUGGAGAUUUCUCCUGCGCUAAGCCAAGAGAAGGUUUCAGCACCUCAGACAGCUCCCACCGAAGUAGCGGCGCUCCCAGCUGCUUGCAGAUGUGGAAAAGGAAAGCCUCGGUUUGUCUUGAGGUUGUCAGCAGUUGCAAGACACGUAAUAAAAUGCAAUGUGUUCCUAA